UUUAGAUUUCAGAUUCGAAUUGAUGUCGGUACUACUUUCGUUCUUUCUUUUGCCAUUCAAGAUGAGUGUGACUUUCAAAGGCCAUCUGGAUUGUAUUUCAGGAUUAACUGUUGGAGGUGGUUUCCUUUUUAGUUCCUCCUUUGAUAAAACAGUCCAUGUAUGGUCUCUGCAGAGUUCGAAGAUAAUCCUCACCUUUAUGUAUUGAAGCCAAUGAAAUAUUGAAGUUUGGAAAGUAAGAUUCUUGACUCUCUAUUACUAAAGUAUUGUUAUUUCUUUUAAUUGGGUCUAUGAUCUUGC
Camellia sinensis is the source of this 297-nucleotide non-coding RNA. The record is from RefSeq and is a predicted model, not a curated record. NCBI's taxonomy places the organism in Eukaryota, Viridiplantae, Streptophyta, Magnoliopsida, Ericales, Theaceae.